RNAcentral lists this ribosomal RNA (555 nucleotides) under Salmonella enterica subsp. enterica serovar Typhimurium str. SL1344. RNAcentral's name for it is "bacterial SSU rRNA". It matches the Rfam family "Bacterial small subunit ribosomal RNA", at positions 548 to 1102 of the family's 1533-position model. The record is from RNAcentral. Lineage: Bacteria; Pseudomonadati; Pseudomonadota; Gammaproteobacteria; Enterobacterales; Enterobacteriaceae.
GAAUUACUGGGCGUAAAGCGCACGCAGGCGGUCUGUCAAGUCGGAUGUGAAAUCCCCGGGCUCAACCUGGGAACUGCAUUCGAAACUGGCAGGCUUGAGUCUUGUAGAGGGGGGUAGAAUUCCAGGUGUAGCGGUGAAAUGCGUAGAGAUCUGGAGGAAUACCGGUGGCGAAGGCGGCCCCCUGGACAAAGACUGACGCUCAGGUGCGAAAGCGUGGGGAGCAAACAGGAUUAGAUACCCUGGUAGUCCACGCCGUAAACGAUGUCUACUUGGAGGUUGUGCCCUUGAGGCGUGGCUUCCGGAGCUAACGCGUUAAGUAGACCGCCUGGGGAGUACGGCCGCAAGGUUAAAACUCAAAUGAAUUGACGGGGGCCCGCACAAGCGGUGGAGCAUGUGGUUUAAUUCGAUGCAACGCGAAGAACCUUACCUGGUCUUGACAUCCACGGAAGUUUUCAGAGAUGAGAAUGUGCCUUCGGGAACCGUGAGACAGGUGCUGCAUGGCUGUCGUCAGCUCGUGUUGUGAAAUGUUGGGUUAAGUCCCGCAACGAGCGCAAC